This 726-nucleotide long non-coding RNA is filed under the name Helianthus annuus (common sunflower). RNAcentral describes it as "hypothetical non coding rna". The record is from RNAcentral. Lineage: Eukaryota; Viridiplantae; Streptophyta; Magnoliopsida; Asterales; Asteraceae.
AUGUUUGCCUACGUCUCUUACAUCACUUGGUGAUUCUUCCUUAUCGUUUGUUCGUGGUGUCUUGGCAUUAUUUUACUGUCUAUAUAAAAUAAAAGAUUUUCACCAUUCAUAUCUCCACGGUCUAUAUAGAGGUAUGUUGGCUACCUGGUCGGGGGUUAAGGGAACGGUUUGGUAAGAGUCUUGCCAUUGUUCAGUGUAUAGAUCCUGCAAAGGACCUGGGUCAAAUUAGUAGGACCUCCUUCAAUACCCAACGGUAUUGGAUGGCGGGGGUCCAAACUCUUUGAUCCCCUCAUAAGUUAAACUACUAUUAAAACUUUAACCCGGCUACUUAGGACUGUAUCCCUGCUGACUCAGACUACUUAGCCGAGGGUAACGUCACCUUCAAAAGAGGGGCCUACCACAUUAUGCAUUAAUAAAUUAAUUAAUUAUCUUUCAAUAAUCUGACCCUUUAGGAUUGUAUCCUUGCUGACUCAAACUACUGGGUUGAGGGUAACAUCACUUUCAAAAGAGGGGCCUACUACAAUAACUAAGAUAAUCUCUUAAACAAGUGCAAAAGUGCAAAAAUAAUCAAAGGUUACACUACACACGAGUCGGAUCCAAGUGAUUCAUCUUAUCUAUCUGUUUUUAUUUUUAUUUUCAGCAUUUUAGUUAGUUUUAUUUUUCUAGUUUAAAAACCUUUUUCUAACAUUUUGAUUUGAUUAGACGUUGAGGAUAAACUGGUACUAA